RNAcentral lists this transfer RNA (75 nucleotides) under Hemiphyllodactylus pardalis. Its description in RNAcentral is "tRNA-Trp". It matches the Rfam family "tRNA". From Rfam's summary of the family: Transfer RNA (tRNA) molecules are approximately 80 nucleotides in length. Their secondary structure includes four short double-helical elements and three loops (D, anti-codon, and T loops). Lineage: Eukaryota; Metazoa; Chordata; Lepidosauria; Squamata; Gekkonidae. The record is from RNAcentral.
AGAAAUUUAGGUUAAUACUAAACCAAGGACCUUCAAAGCCCUAAAUACGAGCUCGCCCCUCAUAAUUUCUGCCUG